CCAAAACGUGCAUGCAGACAGACAAGUACUCUGUCUGAGAAGAAGAAGGUUGAACAAUGUAACACUGCUUGAUCUGGAAAGUGCUUCUUUCUCAACGAUCAGAUUUUUAAUUUCGUGAUGGAAAUUCAUACACCAACACGUAUUCCUGUGCUGUACAAUAGGGUAUCCAAUGCCCCAAGACUGCAUCAAGUUCGACCACGUAACACCAUCAUCACAUCACAUACCCAUCAUACCAAAAACACAUUUCCAUCGCAAGUUCAUUAAACAUUGUUUCUAUCAAUGUUUUCGAUGUAUUAUUUGUUUUGAAAUUUAAGGAAGGGAGUGUUUAUAAAACUGAAUUAGAUCAAGAAGCAGCUUUCAACCCUCUGAAAAAACAGAAAAAAUCACAUCCAUACAGCUAGCUACCACUUCCACACAGCAUCGUUUGAAGUUUCAUUUUUUCUAUGAUUCAUUUUGUCGAAUCCUUCUGAAAUUACAGAGCCAAAAUGAACAAAGACCAAAGACCAAAGAAAAGGUGAAGCUUUAAGAAUGUUCAGUUAUUGGAGAUCCAGGAGAAUGUCCGGGUCGAGAUCCGGCAAUGAGAAGGCCUUGGUUGAUUCCGAAAUCUAUUACAUACGUGGACUCUCCCGGCGGUGGCAAAAGCUUCUGAAAUUGUCUGGUUGGCGGUGAAGUGCGCCGAUUUCAUCAAAAUACCGGCAUGACUCCAUCAAACAGUUUGCAACACGUUCAGCCGAAAUCUGUAGCAACAUGUUUCACUAAAUUUAGCAGAGCAUAGGGUACGUUGAUGAAUUCAAACAUAGACAUUGGAGUUGAACAUUCCUAAAGAAACAUUUUCAUGAAUACUUCAGUAUAUUUCUUAUUAGUUUUGUAUUUUAUGUAUAAGAUUUUUUAUUUUUUUUAAUUCAAUUAAGUUCUUGUUUCUUUUCAAAAAAUCCUUAAGUUAAAUUGGC
Molecule: small RNA, 950 nt
Filed under: Vigna angularis var. angularis
Lineage: Eukaryota; Viridiplantae; Streptophyta; Magnoliopsida; Fabales; Fabaceae
Description: Non-protein coding transcript
Source: RNAcentral